Molecule: ribosomal RNA, 387 nt
Filed under: uncultured bacterium
Lineage: Bacteria
Description: bacterial SSU rRNA
Rfam family: Bacterial small subunit ribosomal RNA
Source: RNAcentral
AUUGAACGCUGGCGGCAUGCUUUACACACGCAAGUCGAGCGGCAGCGCGGGGGCAACCCUGGCGGCGAGCGGCGAACGGGUGAGUAAUGCAUCGGAACGUACCCUGGAGUGGGGGGAUAACGCCGCGAAAGCGGCGCUAAUACCGCAUAUGCUCUGAGGAGGAAAGUGGGGGACCGCAAGGCCUCACGCUCUGGGAGCGGCCGAUGUCCGAUUAGCUAGUUGGUGGGGUAAAGGCUUACCAAGGCGACGAUCGGUAGCUGGUCUGAGAGGAUGAUCAGCCACACUGGGACUGAGACACGGCCCAGACUCCUACGGGAGGCAGCAGUGGGGAAUUUUGGACAAUGGGGGCAACCCUGAUCCAGCCAUGCCGCGUGAGUGAAGAAGGCC